Long non-coding RNA from Salmo salar (Atlantic salmon), 8712 nucleotides. RefSeq lists it as uncharacterized. NCBI's taxonomy places the organism in Eukaryota, Metazoa, Chordata, Actinopteri, Salmoniformes, Salmonidae. The record is from RefSeq and is a predicted model, not a curated record.
AUAGGUCUGUCAAACUCCCUGCUGUUGGCUGAUUGCCCAGAAGCAGCUGACCUUGUCAUUGUGCACAUCCAAUGUAGUCUUUGCGGUUGUGUACACACACGUACAUGUCCACAGACCUCAUGCAUUUCUUGCAAAUCGUCUGACUUCCUUUCAGAUGUUAUAACAAAUAUAUGGACAAAAGGUAUAACAAAUGUAAAUAUAAGGGGAAUCUGUAAGAGACUAUUUAGCGACAUCCAGUCCGUUUCUGCUAUACUGUCUCGUAGCGUUCCAUUAUUGUGAUUAUAAAGACAUUAAUGUUAAGUAUUUCGCAAGAGCUCAUAUCAUCUGUGCAGAAUUGACCAUAAACCAACAAUGGGUCUCAUAUCUACUUGUAGCAUCCUGACAUUGUGGGUAGGUGUCUUUGGAAGGGCUAGUAUAAGUACUGUGUCAGGGCUUAGCUGGUGUCACCUGGGGGACAAUAUAAGAUACUGUAGGAAUGUUCUCCAUAAGUUAUUAUAGUCAUUUAGUGGUUCAUUCAUUUAAAAGGUACAUCUCUCCAGGUACAUCUCAAACAGACUGUGGAUUUCUUAUGCUCCUCACGAACUAAUGAUUCCAAGAGAGCACAGAAAUUCUACUUUGCGGAGAUAAGGACUGAGAUCUCCAUUCAACAACAAACAGCAAGUAAAACCGGGAUUAAAUCCGAGCUAAAUGGCAGCUCUGCUUUUUGGUUUGCUAAAAAGCUGAAGGACGUGGCUGGAGAAAUGUAAUAAGUGGGUAACAUUCAUUGAAAUUACCAUUGAACAGCUGUACAUAUUGCAGAUUUCACCUUUAAAAAAUGAUUUACACUUUCUUUAGAAAUAUAUGAAAUGUACCAUACCAGUCGUAUGAACACCCAUCCACCAACCACCACAUGCUAGCAAUGCUAAUUUACAUUGAGUUAUAAAAAGACUGACAUUGUUAGGGCCACGCAACAUGACACCAGCGACCAUCGCACCACUUUGUAAAGAUGAGCGUGUCAGGUGGGACUUGGACAGUCAAAACUGGGGAUGAUGAGACUACACUGCUAUUCUUAGCUCUUUUGUUCAGUGUUGAGAGAAGAAGAGUUGUGACCCUACUAUCACCUCCACUACCACCCUAUACUCAGGCCACGAACUCCAGACUUCCAGCCAGCAAAGUAGUUCUCAUUAUUACGAGAUGUGGAAGAUCAAACGUAAGUGGCGCCACCAUUUUGUGGCAUGCAUGCAUGCUCUUUCACAUUCAGUCAAAACGAAAGUAACAAAAUGACUGCAUAUGGCAAGUUGUUUUUCCCUACACACACAGGCUACAGUUCAGCAUGGCUGAGAGACAUUUCCAGCCAGGCAACUAAUAGAACUUGGUAGAACUCACACCUUAAAUUCCUUUGCUUUACGAUUUUGAUUAGAGAUUAACCAUAUAAAAUGCCACUGUACUGCAUUCCUGAUGUAAAACUUCUCUUACAGCCCCCAUCACGUACGCUUUGGAAGCAAAGUACAGGCCCUAUCUUGAGGUAAUAGUUUUGCGAACCAUUUUGAUCCAAUCUAAUUCACUGCAUAGCAGGGAUUGAUGUUCUAUAUUCCUACUAUGCAGGGUAACUAAGGACUAAGCUAUGUGGACGGAAGCUAUCGCAGCCUUGAAAUGUUUUCAAAUAUCUGGUCGAACAACAAGGCCAGCGUUGUGUUCAUUAGGCACCGAAUGGAACACAAUGGACUGAAACAGGGAGGGAUUUCCUGGCCUUGCCCCCCCCCCUCCCCCAAAAAUGCUCGUUAGGUACGGAAUGGAACACAAUGGACUGAAACAGGGAUGGAUUUCCUGGCCUUGCCCCCCCCCCCCCUUGUGCCCUCUCGAAACCGACCAAGGGUCAGCGUCAAUUCCGUUUGGAGUCCAUUUAAAAUAUGAACUGAAUUAGAAUUGAAUUCAUGAACUGAAAAUCCACCAGGAAAAUCCCAAGAUACUGUAUGUUGUCAUUAUAAAACACAUAUUUAAAAAAUAGAGGACUUUAUAUCUGUGCCAUUAGCAGCAUGGGCAGCGCCAGAGGCAACAACCCAUAGGAAUCCCCACCCAGAUGACUACUUUCAAUACUUUAAAAUGGCGCUGCCCAUACCACUAUGGUGGAGAGUUAAAGGCGUCCGCAUACUUCCCAGCCAAAACAGUUCAGAAGUUUGUGCAUAUAUUAUGAUGACAUUUUGUGACGUUUAUGUUCGUUUUGGACUUCGGUGAGUGUUUUUCGGCUGUUCGGGCACACAAAAUGUUUUCUCGAGGCAAGCCGAAGUCCAAAAUGAACAUAAACAUCACAAAAUGUCAUCAUAAUAUACAGAAGCUCUUCUGAACUUUUUCAGCUGGGAAGCAUGCAGACGCCUUUACAGUGCCUUCAGAAAGUGUUCAUACCCCUUAACUUACUCCACAUUUGGAAUAUGGGAAAAAAAUCCUACCUUGCCUAUCACAAGCAAGCUGAAGCUAUUACCAUAUCAAAUCUUCCCAGAGAAACACACAUGCCAAGAGGUCAAUUUGGAAAUACACUUCAUGACCGAAAGUAUGGACACCUGCUCGUCGAAUAUCUCAUUCCAAAAUCGUGGAAAUAAAUAUGGAGAUACUCCCCGCUUUGCUGCUAUAACAGCCUCCACACGUCUGGGAAGGCUUUCCACUAGAUGUUGGAACAUUGCUGUGGGGACUUGCUUCCAUUCAGCCACAAGAGCAUUAGUGAGGUCGGACACUAAUGUUGGGUGAUUAGGCCUGGCUCGCAGUCGGCGUUCCAUUUCAUCCCAAAGGUGUUCGAUGGUAUUGAGGUAAGGGCUCUGUCCAGGCCAGCCAAGUUCUUCCACACCGAUCUCGACAAACCAUUUCUGUAUGGACCUCACUUUGUGCACAGGGGCAUUGUCAUGCUGAAACAGGAAAGGGCUUUCCCCAAACUGUUGUGUUGGGGUAGGUUCCUUGUUCCUUGUCAAUCAUUUGCUUAUUGGUGAAAUCAGCAAUCAGACAAUAUUUUAAGCAAAUCAAUCAAAAACCUUUAUUAAUGCAAUUGAGGACAGAAGUUGACAACGGGAACAUAGCCCGCAUGUUUCUGAGUAGGUUCUGCAAAAUAGGAAAGGGUCCAAGUUGCUUUAAUAUGCUUGCAGUCAACCCCUAGUGAUGUAACUGCCUACGUAAACACCUUCUACUCAUGAGACCAAGCCCAUGCAUAUACAGUUAUACAAACUUGCAGGAGAGAACAAUAGUUCCAGUGUUUUCUAAGGGCUCAGCAGUAACUUUUCACUCCCCAAGUUGCUUUAUAGUGGUAUGUCUGACUUGUCUCUUAUCUCUUUCACUCCACUGCAGGGUUCUGUGUCUAUGAAUCUCUUUUAGCCUUGAGGCGCUUUCUCACAGACACCCUGUUUUGACUGCAAUAACUCACACAUCUCUCAGGCCGUUUCUGAUAAGAAGCAGAGACUAGAAAAGAACUGUGGAACAAUAUUAAACCUUAUAAUGUAUAUAUAUAUUGCUACUCUUUAGUCCAGGACCCUAUAUAUGUAAUGGGGGUGGGGUCUUAUAGCCCUUCCCCUUCUAUUAAUACAACAUAAGCAUAAUCAAUUAGUAUAAUACAUCAAUCAUUUGGUGCAGCCCCUAUCAUGACCCCAAGGUGAACCCCAUCAUUCCCCUCUUUGAGGCUAAUUAGUCUCACAGCUUCAAUCUUAAUAUUCUCCUCUGAAAUCAAACAGAUUAGGCAAAUCCCCCGGAUCCGUUUGAUCCCAGGGAUGGCCUGCUAAAGGGAGAAACAACUCCUGAGGUUCCUGGAAUGCUGGUGGGGUGGGGUGAGUCUGUCUAUACUCCCAUUGCGCCUGAGUCCUGGGAAGAACCAUACGAGUUGGAUAGACAAUGGGAUUAAGAGAAACCAGAAAUGCACCAGUCUCACCUUCAGCACGAUUUGUAUCAGCUUCCACCAACACCAUCACUCCAGCAUGUUCAAGAGCAGUGAGUCAUUUUCUUACAAAUAUAAACAGUAGCCAAAAUCACCAAACCUCCCACAAGUAUAGGAGUAAACAAUGAAAACAAGAUUAACAUUACUUUCCCCAGAACAUUUCCAAAUUUAGCAUUAAACCAGACACCAAUUUUGUCAGCCAAUCGGCAAAUAGUAGAGAUCAUGGUUGAUGGUAAACAGGGCAUGCCAGACAAAAGAUGUAGCCAUAAGCCAGACCUAUUAGUAAACCCUAUUGCUCUCCAAACCCCACACCAUGACAAACAAACCCCAAUAGCAUAUGCUGAGUCUGAGUAGACAGUAAGGGCCUUCCCUUCCCCCAAUUCACAAGCUGUGUUCAGAGCUAAUAAAUCUGCCUGUUGCGCUGAUAAAUGUUCUGGUAGGGGCUGUAUAACCUCAAUAUCACCUUCCACAUCUACUACAGCAAAUCCUACAUGUUUCUUCCCUGUGCUUUGAUCUAUAUAAGCAGAACCAUCAACGAACAGCACCAUGUCAAAGUCAAGGAGAGGUUCAUCAAACAAGUCUAUGUCCAGUACGCAUUCCUGGGCUGUCCCGAUGCAACUGUUAUUGUCAUUAACUUGUCCUCCUUGUUCAUAGGCAUAGGUGGCCCCAGGGGAGCAUUUUAAGCUCCGGGCGAGUGGUACGGUGGCUGAGGAGCAUAUUGUUUCCAUGGUACACUCCAGGAUGUGUAUUAGCAAAGUUCUCUCUUCCUCUGCCAGGCCCAACAUUUCCUCUGCCCCUGAUGUAACCUCUUCCUCUUUCAUUUUCCCCACACUGCGAACUCACAUGCCCCAACUGCCCACAGGUCCAGCAUUGAGUGUUGUUCCAGUCACAAGGGGGUGUUCUGGCGGGCCCACCUCCUUUUCCAGUCCAUGUUUGUGGGUCAUCAUAAUGCUGAGUGGUGAAAAGCACAUAACCUGCAGGCACUGGGUUCACGGCUGUGACUGAUGUGACUGAUGUGACUGUGGGGGAGCUGCAGGCUGUGGUUGUGGGGAGCCUGUAGAAACAACUUGAGCAGCCAUCAUAUUACCCCAUGUCCCUGUUCAACCUGAAGAGAGGUUCCCCCGAUAAGGAGUUCCCUACCCUAAAAUACAACUACACAUGUAUGGCGAGAAUCCUGACUCCAGAACUGUAUGCUCACCAGUUCAACCGCGCCACCCAGAGCGGGGUCAUCUUUGAUGAUGUCAUACGUCCGGCCCUCGAGGAACCAGGUGACGUCAACAGGCAUUAUGCGAUCUAUAGGGAACUCAUGUUUCUAGAUCAUUAUGCGCUGAAAACAAUGGAGCCAGGCUCAGUUACAUCAUAAAAGCCAGGCAAUAACGAUAGCCAGCCAUUUAACAGAAUACUAAAACAAUGUCCUAACACCUAGCUAAUCCAAAACAACUGCUGCUGCUUAUGCAUCACAACGUGUGACUCUAGUGUGUGUUUCUCUGUGUGAGUGUGUACUUACCAAAUGUGUGUAUACUGUUCCUGUACUGUCCUACAGGGGAGCUUCAUGGACCCAUGUCUGUGGGUUGUGUAGCUGGCGACGGCCAGUCUUACAUCCUCUUCUGUGACUUCUUUGAUCGGGUCAUGGUACUGCAGUGUGGCCUUAUAAGUGUAUCUCCAUUUCACAUAAUUAAAAAAAACGUUUUAUUAUAAGGUUUCUUCAUAAUCCCAACUACGAAGUUUCAUGCUUUUAUGAAAAAGUUAGCAUUUGUCAUAUAUCGCUUGGGCUAUUCACACAAUUUCAGUGUGCCACACUUCAUAACAGACUUCUACCAAAGAUGUGUGAUGUGGCAUGUCAUAAAAUCUGUUGUUAGAUGUUAGGUCAAGAUCUCAGUAAUGUUUAUGACAACUAUGUAGGGCAUUGUGGCAUAACAUUCCAAUAGUGUUAGCCAGUACAUCCGUAGCAGAUUUGUAAAUACUUCAAUGUGUUUAAAGGCAUUUUUUGCUCUCUCUCUGUGUUUGUGUCAAAUACGUACUGUGUGUGUAUGUCUGGCUAAUUAAUGUAUUGUGUGUGUGUGUGUGUGUGUGUGUGUGUGAGAUGACUUCGGCUUCACUACACACUGCAGCCGGGGAGAACGUAGACAAUUCCUCAUGCUGGCCAAGAAAGGUACUGCAUGCUCUGAUCUACAGUAACAAUAUUGCACAAAUAGUACAUACAGUUCAGGUUUGGUGUCAAUUCCAAUUUAAUUUGAAAUUCCAAUUCAAUUAUUGAAUUCAAUCAUGAAGUGGAUAAUUUACUUUGAAUUAAAUUCAACAUUUUUAAAUCUUCAAAUUAUGCAAUUGGAUUUAGACGACUUUUUUUGGAACUUUUUUAGAAUUAAAUUGGAAUUGUAAAAACAUCUUUGGAAUUGAAAUUCAAUAUUCCUACAUUUCCCAGUUAAUAGAAUUAAUGCACAGAGUAUCAAAAUUGUACUGUAGGAUUUGCUUUUAACAAUUUCAACCUCUACUCCAAUAUUUACAGCAUAACAAGGCUGUCUGAACAGUGACAUGAUCAGCCUGAGGGAAUUGAAUUAGAAUUGUUGGCGAUAAUAUUGAUAUUAAAUUAUUGGAAUUGACCUAAAAUUGGAAUUCAGGGGAAUUGAAUUUUCUCUGAAUUCAAAGACUGACCUGGAAUUUGAAUUUAAUUAAAUGGAAUGUACAGGAAGCGAGAACUGAAUUAAAAUGUAAUUUGUGGAAUUGACACCCACCCUGGUACAGUGUGAUACUUUAUCCUCACCUGCAAUCAAAACAAAAUGUAAUUGAGCACAUUAACGCCAUCAGUUUAAUUGAUAUAUGUUUUAGGCUUUUAGUUUACAUUUUCAGAACAAGAAUAUCUGGGCUGCUAUCAAUUAACAAUCGUGAGGACACCAAGCAAAAGCAAUCAAUGCCCAUCCAUGCUCCUUCUCACACAGUAGUUUGAAGUAACAUUGUAAUGGUACGUGGUGUCAGAAAGAGGACACACUAAUUCAGUGGUGCACAACUCAGGGCCGAGUUCCACAACUCGGCUGGUUUUCAUUUCACCCAGUUGACGUUACUGAAUGGCCCAAAUAGAAACCAGUCCCUAGCUAAAAGGCAAGGACAAAAAUCUGCAGAACUGCUGUCAUCGAAGAAUGUAUCUGAGCAUCCCUGCACUAACCAACCAGACCUAUAGCAAACAUGAUUGGUUGACACUUCUCCGUCCAGCUCUGGACCAAUUGGCAGAGGAGUUGCCAGGGACGCUGUACUCAAGGGCCGAACUGUCACAUGACAAAAAAGACAAGGGAGUGACCGUGGGAGCCCCUUCCCUUUCCCAACGGGUGGCCCGUGACUGGCCUGACUCCAGAGCUGUCCUUUAAGUGCCACUGGCAUGUUCCCUUCUUUACAACCUAAACAAUUUGUUGUGUGUGUUGUGUUUGCCUUUUUAUGCAGAAAGAUUAUUUGUGCAAUGAAAAAUACCAAAAUAUAAUUUAUCAUUAUGUUCCACACGUUAGUGUGGUAAUAACAACUGCUCUAGGGUCUGUUUUGCCUUUCAGUCCACAUUAGUUGUAAACUGUAUGGAGAGGUAAAAAAAACUGCUCUACGGCCUGUUUUGCCUAACACAUAGUUCGUUACUAACCUAGUGGAGAAGUGAAGCAGUGCACUCUUCUUGUAAGUAUAGGAGUAAAUCCUCAUGAAUAUCUGUUUUAAAUAAACCCUGUAGUAUUCAAAUCAUGAUAACGAAAAACCAAAAAUACCAUGGUGUCAACAAACCCAGCUGAUUCUGUAGCUCGACCCAGGUACUGUAGUUAAUCAAUAUUACAAACAUUUUACAAAACAGUACAACCAAAAGUUAGAUGGUGCCUUUACACUAUGGUCCUUCUAGACAGAUUAAAGCUAUAUUUUCAGCAAAACAGCAGCACGCCACUUGUUUUAUUAUACGGCUGAGGGACGAGGCUAUAUGUAACUACUCUCACAUUCAUAGACAGCGCUCUAGAUGAACUUUGAUACUGUUGUGACCAUUACCACUCUGCAGGGUUAGUAAAGACGGGGACCCUGGUGGUAUGGGUAAACAUUGACGACCACCUCAGAUUGGUGACCACGCGAGAUGACGCCUACCUCGCAGAGGCCUUCCAAUGUAUCUGUGUCAACAUCCUUAAGGUUGGUACCCUCGGAAGGCACAGAUCCUGACCGCAUGAUUACCUUAAAGUCCAACUGACAGCCUUUUAGCAACAUUAAAUCGUAUUACAAUCAGAGGACGAAUAUGACACUUUUUUUUAUAGACAUGUGUAACUGUUAGGGUUUGACCAACUAUUUGUUUGCAUAACCUAUAUAAUAUAACAAAGAAGCAAUGCUAUAAUAUUAAGUUUAUACUCUAUAUGAUAAGAGAGGAAGGGGCUCAUGGGAUGUUGAGUCAUAUGGAAAGAAUGCAGAUGCUGUAAAUCAGGGAUAUGGAAGAACUUGUUAAAAGAUAAGGGCAGGAUAUGGGUGAAAUGUAUAUGCAGAGGGGUGUCGGGGUUUUAGAGAACUGUGCAUUGUGCAGUCACAAGAUAAAUCGACUGCCAAAGAUAAUAACUACGCCCGGCAACAGGAGGCGUCUCGAGGUUGGGACCAACCUGCACGCCAACGAUAGGAUGAGUAAGUUUAAACCACGCUCAUCCUCCCUCUGACAGGCCAGCAGUGAGUGGGAACUCUCUCUGUCAGAGUAUUUAAUGAGAAGCAAAGGAUGUGUAACUCAGUUCUCUGUCUGCCCUGCGUGGUGACACAGCGAGCCCGUAUAUACAAACAUCAUAUUUACCAUAAAUGUGUUUGCAUUAAUUAAAGUACAAAGAAAUCAGAAGUUA